AUUGAACGCUGGCGGCAGGCCUAACACAUGCAAGUCGAGCGGAUGAAGGGAGCUUGCUCCUGGAUUCAGCGGCGGACGGGUGAGUAAUGCCUAGGAAUCUGCCUGGUAGUGGGGGAUAACGUCCGGAAACGGGCGCUAAUACCGCAUACGUCCUGAGGGAGAAAGUGGGGGAUCUUCGGACCUCACGCUAUCAGAUGAGCCUAGGUCGGAUUAGCUAGUUGGUGGGGUAAAGGCCUACCAAGGCGACGAUCCGUAACUGGUCUGAGAGGAUGAUCAGUCACACUGGAACUGAGACACGGUCCAGACUCCUACGGGAGGCAGCAGUGGGGAAUAUUGGACAAUGGGCGAAAGCCUGAUCCAGCCAUGCCCCGUGUGUGAAGAAGGUCUUCGGAUUGUAAAGCACUUUAAGUUGGGAGGAAGGGCAGUAAGUUAAUACCUUGCUGUUUUGACGUUACCAACAGAAUAAGCACCGGCUAACUUCGUG
RNAcentral lists this ribosomal RNA (484 nucleotides) under uncultured bacterium. RNAcentral describes it as "partial 16S ribosomal RNA". It matches the Rfam family "Bacterial small subunit ribosomal RNA", at positions 30 to 507 of the family's 1533-position model. The record is from RNAcentral.